AUGCUGCUGGCCUGCUUGCAGGGCAUGUGUGUGGAGGUGUGGGGGGCUGGCAUGCACGGUGGUGUAGGCGAGGCUGGGAAGCCUGCAUUCCUUGGCUGUGACCUUCGCACUCUUAGAAGCCAUUCGCGGUCUGGGGAGCGCUAUCGGCGGAGCGGCAGAGCAGGGAGACACUGGAGCAGCAGUCGAAGCAGCCGGAGUCCCAGCGAUUCGCGAAGCCGCAGCAGAUCGGCUUCUCCAGCAAGAGAGAAAGUGCUGAGGCCUGCAGCUUCCCCAGCCGUGGGGGAGAAACUGAAAAAGGCUGACGCUGCUGCUGGUAAAGAGACAGGAGCUGCCAAAGUCACCAAAGCUGACUCCACAGGAGAAACUGAAGUUGCGGAUGCAGAAGGCUCUCAACAGGCAGUUCAAAGCCGACAAAAAGGCAGCGCAAGAGAAGAUGAUGCAGCAGGAGCAUGA
Molecule: long non-coding RNA, 453 nt
Filed under: Pelusios castaneus (West African mud turtle)
Lineage: Eukaryota; Metazoa; Chordata; Testudines; Pelomedusidae
Description: lncRNA (ENSPCEG00000018338.1)
Source: RNAcentral